CGAGGCGCCUGGUGGCGAAGCUGUGCCCGCACAGCCCGGCCCGGUCGCUCCCCUGGGCAGUGACUCACCGCUGUGCCCCGCCGCAGAGCCGCAGGUGGGGACCCUCAGUGCCGGCCGCAGCGUGGAGCCGCGGACGGUCGCGCUCACUCGCUCACUCACACGGGCGGAGUCCCAGUUCCCGCCCUGGGACGCCCCUGCUCUCGGGAGGGGACGAAGCUCCUCUUCCGUCGUCUGACGGGCCUGGCUCGGGCGGUCCCGGGACCUCACCUGGUCGGAAGCUUCCAGACUGAUUUGACUGGUCCGUCCCUCCGCGAUUAAAUUCAGGAAAACUGAGGAAGAUACACUCCAUUUCAAACCUUUAACAGGGUGAGGUACAAGUGAAGACAGAGGCCUUUUCACACCUUGUAAAAAUCCGUGCUUUGGGAUUGGAUGAACUCUUGGAAAGCAUUUUCUGCAUCCUGCUGGUUGUGGAGGCAUUUCCCCUGCAGAAAGAUGCCGAGAUGCUUGAAGAAGUGGGAGUCGGUUGGCGAGAGGACAAGUGAAUUUGGCGGAGGAAGCAAAACUUUGCAGCCCAAUCCGUGCAGCUUUGGAAGUGUCGGUUGUGCGACGUGAGGUCUGGCGUUGUCCUGGAGAAUCGCGCCCUUUCUGUCGACCAGUGCCGGCUACAGGCAUUGCAG
Microcebus murinus (gray mouse lemur) is the source of this 677-nucleotide long non-coding RNA. RefSeq lists it as uncharacterized. Lineage: Eukaryota; Metazoa; Chordata; Mammalia; Primates; Cheirogaleidae. The record is from RefSeq and is a predicted model, not a curated record.